GACGAACGCUGGCGGCGUGCCUAAUACAUGCCAGUCGAACGCAUUUUCUCUCAACGUAGCUUGCUACACCGAUAGAAAGUGAGUGGCGAACGGGCGAGUAACACGCCUGUAACCUGCUCAUCAGCGGGGGAUAACACUUGUGAACAGGAGCUAAUACCGCAUAAUUCUAUUUACCGCAUGGUAGAUGGAUGAAAGGCGCUUUUGCGUCACUGAUGGAUGGACCCGCGGUGCUUUAGCUAGUUGGUGGGGUAACGGCCUGCCAAGGCUGCGAUGCAUAGCCGGCCUGAGAGGGUGGGCGGCCACACUGGGACGGAGACACGGCCCGGACUCCUACGGGAGGCAGCAGUAGGGGAUCUUCGGCGAUGGACGCGAGUCAGACCGAGCCACGCCGCGUGAGUGAAGAAGGGUGUCGGAUUGUAAAACUCUGUUGUUAGAGAAGAAAAAGGAUGAGAGUGGAAAGUUCAUCCCUUGACGGUAUCUAAACAGAAAGCCACGGCUAACUACGUG
Molecule: ribosomal RNA, 507 nt
Filed under: uncultured bacterium
Lineage: Bacteria
Description: partial 16S ribosomal RNA
Rfam family: Bacterial small subunit ribosomal RNA
Source: RNAcentral